Molecule: non-coding RNA, 2133 nt
Organism: Phoenix dactylifera (date palm)
Lineage: Eukaryota; Viridiplantae; Streptophyta; Magnoliopsida; Arecales; Arecaceae
Source: RefSeq, a predicted model, not a curated record
CCAAGGGGAGAAGGAUCAUGUAAGGCCCAUUUUGAGCCAAAAAUUUGGAGCAUCAUUCCACAGCCCGGUACUUCCUGGUCUUCAGAAUGCGGCUGGAUACCCUUGCAUCGAAACCCUAGUUCGUGUUUUAAACCCCUGCCGGACGCCGCAGCCUCCCAUUCCUCUCCCUCUUGUUCUUCUUGUGGCUCUUUUUCUCCAUCAAAAAUCUCUAUUCUUCUUUCGUGGAUCUAUUUCUUUUUCCUCUUCUUCUUUCGUGUAUCUAUUUCUAUUUCCACUUCUUCUUCUCCUUCUAAUCUUUUGAGCUCUCGAUGACGAGAAUCGAAGCAGACGGGCGGUCAGAAACUGAUGCCAUGUUGAAUGUCUGCAAUCUCUGUCUUCCUUGUUGUUUCAAGGAAAGCAUCUGAGAGAUCGAUGUUCAAGUGAUUGAUGUGAUUGGCCCUUCAACUGGAGUAGGUUCUCGAGGAAUGGUGAAGUUGAAGCAUUAAGGUUGUUCAUGCGGAGGCUGUAUAUAGAUCGUGGUGAGCUAGUAUUACCGAGUUCAAUGGGAGCAGCAAGGGUACAAACCGAAGCUUGGAAUGGGAGCGAGGAUGUACGGGAUACCACCGUGCCCUGGAAUAUCAGCUAUAACAUCGAUCACAAAGAUCGAAAGGUACUUGACACUUGAGUCUCUCAAGGAAAAGAUCAGUGGAGACCGCAGAGUUAAUCCGAUCGAGAGAGCCCAAUCUUCUAAAAAUUUGGCCUGCGGCGAGUCCAUAAUGUCCGCAGUGAUGUCAAAUGAUUCAUCUUCCAAGUUUUUCCUAAUACCCAAUAGUACAAACUUGGAAUAUGUGGCCCCUUCUGUCUUUAUGGGCCCCUUUGUGAACCACAACUUUUAUUCUUUGGGAGGCGGUAACUUCAGUCUUUGAGACCAACCGAACAAAAGAAACUGUCAAUAGGUUAGGGAUCGAUCAAAAAAUGAUUGCAACCAUCCAUUCAAACAAUUCAACUUAGUUUGGUCCAAAGAAUACUUUUACCUUUGGCAAGAACCACAAUUUUCUUACAAAUGCUAGAGAUUUACUGCCAAUCUCUUGUGAAUUAGAGAGAGCAUAAUGUAUCGAGUCAAGAGGACAGUCAAUAUCAAUGCAGUCUAAGAUGGAGAUGGUAUUUUCAUGCCGAAUAUUGGUAAUUUGAGCAUCCCAGCAACCCAUAAACUCUUUGGUUGUAGUAGGCCAAAGGUCAAGAGAGACAAAAUGAUAGUCCAAGUAAAACUGCUUAGAAAAGAAUUCUGCUAAUGCAAUUUAAUGCGAUUCAGAGAUAAGAAGUCGAUCAGAAAGCGAAGCAUUCAGAGAGAACUCUCUAAUCAUAGCAAGCCAAAAGUCAAGAGGGACAAAAUGAUAGUCUAAGCAUAACUACUCACAAAAGAAAUCCGCUAAUGCAAUCUAAGAAGCUGAUCAGAAAGGGAAGCAUUCAGAGAGUAGAGGGACUGGACCAAAUUGACGAGCAAAAAAGUUAGGAUAGUAGUGUACAGCAGAACACUUAUUAUAUUGACUGAUCUAUAUAUAAUGAAGUUGACACGAAGAUCUCUGGAGACCAAAAAUCCCUCUAGGGAAGUCCUACAGCUUUUUUCUUUGCUGGGGACAUAUCAUCCUCUGGGAUUACUAGUUAGGUAGGUUUGGAAGACCGGAGGAAAGGAAACUGAAGUAUAUAUCUUUAUGAGAGGGGUCCUCGUAAAAGAACCUAAAAUACUCUAAAAAGAAAAGGAACGAGCCCUCUUAGUGAGCAUAUUGGUUACAUUGGUCAUAAACACGUCAGAUCUCUAGAAAAUAGGUGUAUAGUCAGAUUUGGAGCAAUAGGACCUUUAUAUCCCCAAUGCCCAGUACAACAAGAGCCAAACAAAAAUUACAAAACAAAAAGCUUAAACUACUUGAUGUUGCUCUGGGACUCGCUAGUUUGGACACAUGAUCCAUCUUGUAUCAAAGUUGUAACAAAAGGUCUCAAAUGAAUGAGACAAAAGACCAAAAAUUAAAAUUUAUGAUGUAAUGGACAGACAGAAAAUCGUGUUAUCUCAGGCAUUAUGAGAGACCUAUUUGACAUCCAAAUGACUUGAGCUAUGUGAUAACCAACCGAUCCAUAGACUUUGUCUAUUAAGUCAAG